Molecule: ribosomal RNA, 497 nt
Filed under: uncultured bacterium
Lineage: Bacteria
Description: partial 16S ribosomal RNA
Rfam family: Bacterial small subunit ribosomal RNA
Source: RNAcentral
GAUGAACGCUGGCGGCGUGCCUAAUACAUGCAAGUCGAGCGAACGGACGAGAAGCUUGCUUUUCUGAUGUUAGCGGCGGACGGGUGAGUAACACGUGGAUAACCUACCUAUAAGACUGGGAUAACUUCGGGAAACCGGAGCUAAUACCGGAUAAUAUUUUGAACCGCAUGGUUCAAAAGUGAAAGACGGUCUUGCUGUCACUUAUAGAUGGAUCCGCGCUACAUUAGCUAGUUGGUAAGGUAACGGCUUACCAAGGCAACGAUGCAUAGCCGACCUGAGAGGGUGAUCGGCCACACUGGAACUGAGACACGGUCCAGACUCCUACGGGAGGCAGCAGUAGGGAAUCUUCCGCAAUGGGCGAAAGCCUGACGGAGCAACGCCGCGUGAGUGAUGAAGGUCUUCGGAUCGUAAAACUCUGUUAUUAGGGAAGAACAUAUGUGUAAGUAACUGUGCACAUCUUGACGGUACCUAAUCAGAAAGCCACGGCUAACUACGUG